Molecule: ribosomal RNA, 682 nt
Filed under: uncultured Methylobacter sp.
Lineage: Bacteria; Pseudomonadati; Pseudomonadota; Gammaproteobacteria; Methylococcales; Methylococcaceae
Description: bacterial SSU rRNA
Rfam family: Bacterial small subunit ribosomal RNA
Source: RNAcentral
GAGUUUGAUCAUGGCUCAGAUUGAACGCUGGCGGUAUGCUUAACACAUGCGAGUCGAACGGUAGCAGGCCUUCGGGCGCUGACGAGUGGCGGACGGGUGAGUAACGCGUAGGAAUCUGCCUCAUAGUGGGGGACAACGUGGGGAAACUCACGCUAAUACCGCAUACGCCCUACGGGGGAAAGCGGGGGACCUUCGGGCCUCGCGCUAUGAGAUGAGCCUGCGUUAAAUUAGCUAGUUGGUAGGGUAAAGGCCUACCAAGGCGACGAUCUAUAGCUGGUCUGAGAGGACGAUCAGCCACACUGGGACUGAGACACGGCCCAGACUCCUACGGGAGGCAGCAGUGGGGAAUAUUGGACAAUGGGCGCAAGCCUGAUCCAGCAAUACCGCGUGUGUGAAGAAGGCCCUAGGGUUGUAAAGCACUUUCAAUGGGGAGGAAAACAGUCAGAUUAAUACCCUGGCUCUUGACAUUACCUUUAGAAGAAGCACCGGCUAACUCCGUGCCAGCAGCCGCGGUAAUACGGAGGGUGCGAGCGUUAAUCGGAAUUACUGGGCGUAAAGCGUGCGUAGGCGGUUCGUUAAGUCAGAGGUGAAAGCCCCGGGCUUAACCUGGGAACUGCAUUUGAAACUGGCGAACUAGAGUUUAAUAGAGGGGAGUGGAAUUUCAGGUGUAGCGGUGAAAUGC